This 233-nucleotide long non-coding RNA is filed under the name Mytilus galloprovincialis (Mediterranean mussel). Lineage: Eukaryota; Metazoa; Mollusca; Bivalvia; Mytilida; Mytilidae. The record is from RNAcentral.
GGCCUUUGUUAGUCUUCUAUUAUUUUUAAUUUUAGUUUCUUGUGUACAAUUUGGAGUUUAGUAUGGCGUUCAUUAUCACUGAACUAGUAUAUAUAUUUGUUAGGGGCCAGCUGAAGAACACCUCCAGGUGCAGGAAUUUCUCGCUGCAUUGAAGACCUGUUGGUGACCUUCUGCUGUUGUCUGUUCUAUGGUCGGGUUGUUGUAUAUUUGACACAUUCCCCAUUUCCAUUUUC